GUGAGGAAUUUUCCGCAAUGGGCGAAAGCCUGACGGAGCAAUGCCGCGUGAAGGAUGAAGGCCUAUGGGUUGUAAACUUCUUUUCUCAGAAAAGAAUUAUGACGGUAUCUGAGGAAUAAGCAUCGGCUAACUCUGUGCCAGCAGCCGCGGUAAGACAGAGGAUGCAAGCGUUAUCCGGAAUGAUUGGGCGUAAAGCGUCUGUAGGUUGUUUAAAAAGUAUUCUGUCAAAGAUUAGGGCUUAACCCUAGAUAGGCAGAAUAAACUUUUAAGCUAGAGUGUGGUAGAGGCAGAGGGAAUGCCCGGUGGAGCGGUGAAAUGCGUAGAUAUCGGGAGGAACACCAAAGGCGAAGGCACUCUGCUGGGCCAAUACUAACACUGAGAGACGAAAGCGAGGGGAGCAAAUGGGAUUAGAAACCCCAGUAGUCC
Molecule: ribosomal RNA, 426 nt
Filed under: uncultured bacterium
Lineage: Bacteria
Description: bacterial SSU rRNA
Rfam family: Bacterial small subunit ribosomal RNA
Source: RNAcentral